UACAGAGGUCUCAAGCGUUGUUCGGAUUCAUUGGGCGUAAAGGGUGCGUAGUCGGCUUUGCAAGUCGGUUGUGAAAUCCCCGGGCUCAACCUGGGAACUGCAUCCGAGACUGCAUUGCUAGAGUAUGGGAGAGGAAAGCGGAAUUUCUGGUGUAGCAGUGAAAUGCGUAGAUAUCAGAAGGAACAUCAGUGGCGAAGGCGGCUUUCUGGACCAAUACUGACGAUCAGGUGCGAAAGCGUGGGGAGCAAACAGG
This 253-nucleotide ribosomal RNA is filed under the name uncultured bacterium. Its description in RNAcentral is "partial 16S ribosomal RNA". It matches the Rfam family "Bacterial small subunit ribosomal RNA", at positions 524 to 776 of the family's 1533-position model. The record is from RNAcentral.